CCGAGUUUACAACUCCCAAACCCCUGUGAACAUACCAAUUGUUGCCUCGGCGGAUCAGCCCGCUCCCGGUAAAACGGGACGGCCCGCCAGAGGACCCCUAAACUCUGUUUCUAUAUGUAACUUCUGAGUAAAACCAUAAAUAAAUCAAAACUUUCAACAACGGAUCUCUUGGUUCUGGCAUCGAUGAAGAACGCAGCAAAAUGCGAUAAGUAAUGUGAAUUGCAGAAUUCAGUGAAUCAUCGAAUCUUUGAACGCACAUUGCGCCCGCCAGUAUUCUGGCGGGCAUGCCUGUUCGAGCGUCAUUUCAACCCUCAAGCCCUCGGGUUUGGUGUUGGGGAUCGGCGAGCCCUUGCGGCAAGCCGGCCCCGAAAUCUAGUGGCGGUCUCGCUGCAGCUUCCAUUGCGUAGUAGUAAAACCCUCGCAACUGGUACGCGGCGCGGCCAAGCCGUUAAACCCCCAACUUCUGAAUGUUGACCUCGGAUCAGGUAGGAAUACCC
Molecule: ribosomal RNA, 497 nt
Filed under: fungal sp. E15619C
Lineage: Eukaryota; Fungi
Description: eukaryotic LSU rRNA
Rfam family: 5.8S ribosomal RNA (bases 149-302)
Source: RNAcentral